Molecule: long non-coding RNA, 192 nt
Filed under: Ictidomys tridecemlineatus (thirteen-lined ground squirrel)
Lineage: Eukaryota; Metazoa; Chordata; Mammalia; Rodentia; Sciuridae
Description: lncRNA (ENSSTOG00000032048.1)
Source: RNAcentral
UCAUAUUGUUAUGCAAUUGAAGGUAAUUGGAAAUUAAACCUUAAACCUUUUUCUUGGACUGUUUUGUAUUGCCAGAAUCCAAAAUUCAUCUGUCCAUCGUCAUCUAAGAUCAUCUGUCAUUCUAGGAGUCAUUUUUAUCACUUGAAUCAGUUUAGGAGGAAAAAGAGGCUAGACUGACUGUAUUGUGAUCUG